ACGGUACUUCGUUCAGUUACGUAUUGCUGGUGCUGAAGAAAGUUGUCGGUGUCUUUGUGUUAACCUUUCUGUUGGUGCUGAUAUUGCAGAGUUUGAUCCUGGCUCAGAUUGAACGCUGGCGGAACGCUUUACACAUGCAAGUCGAACGGUAACGCGGAGAGAAGCUUGCUUCUCCCCGACGACAGUGGCGAACGGGUGAGUAAUACAUCGGAACGUGUCCGCUCGUGGGGACAACCAGCCGAAAGGUUGGCUAAUACCGCAUGAGUUCUACGGAAGAAAGGGGGRCCCGCAGGGACCUCUCGCGAGCGGGAGGAGCGGCCGAUGACUGAUUAGCCGGUUGGUGAGGUAACGGCUCACCAAGCAACGAUCAGUAGCUGGUCUGAGAGGACGACCAGCCACACUGGGACUGAGACACGGCCCAGACUCCUACAGGAGGCAGCAGUGGGGGAAUUUUGGACAAUGGGCGCAAGCCUGAUCCARUAUUCCGCGUGUGGGAUGAAGGCCCUCGGGUUGUAAACCACUUUUUAGAAAAACAAAAGACACCUUUAAAAAAGGGUGUUGCUGACGGUACUCUAAGAAUAAGCACCGGCUAACUACGUGCCAGCAGCCGCGGUAAUACGUAGGGGCGCGAGCGUUAAUCAGAUUACUGGGCGUAAAAGGGUGCGCAGGCGGUUGGAGUAAGACAGAUGUGAAAUCCCCGAGCUUAACUCGGGAAUGGCAUAUGUGACUGCUCGACUAGAGUGUGUCAGAGGGAGGUGGAAUUCCACGUGUAGCAGUGAAAUGCGUAGAUAUGUGGAAGAACACCGAUGGCGAAAGCAACCUCCUGGGACAUAACUGACGCUCAGGCACGAAAGCGUGGGAGCAAACAGGAUUAGAUACCCUGGUAGUCCACGCCCUAAACGAUGUUAACUAGUUGUUGGGAAGUAAAAUUCUCAGGUAACGCAGCCAACGCGAAGUUAACCGCCUGGGAAGUACGGUCGCAAGACUAAAACUCAAAGGAAUUGACGGGGACCCGCACAAGCGGUGGAUGAUGUGGAUUAAUUCGAUGCAACGCGAAAAACCUUACCUACCCUUGACAUGUCAGGAAGCUCUUGUAAUGAGAGUGUGCCCGCAAGGGAGCCUGAACACAGGUGCUGCAUGGCUGUCGUCAGCUCGUGUCGUGAGAUGUUGGGUUAAGUCCCGCAACGAGCGCAACCCUUGUCACUAGUUGCUACGAAAGGGCACUCUAGUGAGACUGCCGGUGACAAACCGGAGGAAGGUGGGGAUGACGUCAAGUCCUCAUGGCCCUUAUGGGUAGGGCUUCACACGUCAUACAAUGGUCGGAACAGAGGGCAGCAGAAGCCGUGAGGCGGAGCCAAUCCCAAAAACCGAUCGUAGUCCGAUUGCAGUCUGCAACUCGACUGCAUGAAGUCGGAAUCGCUAGUAAUCGCGGAUCAGCAUGCCGCGGUGAAUACGUUCCCGGGUCUUGUACACACCGCCCGUCAAACAAUGGGGUGGUGUUUACAGAAGUCGUUAGCCUAACCGCAAGGAGGCGGCGACCACGGUGAGCACCGUGACUAAUGUUAAGUCGUAACAAGGUAGCCGUACCGGAAGGUGCGGCUGGAUCCUCCCCUUUCAAGUAAAAGCAGUAUGAGCUCAGAAGUUCUGAGUGUCCGCUCUUAUCGGAAGUCGAUAAAGAUUUGAAGACAAACCCGAGACCGUGGGUCUUUAGCUCAGCUGGUUUAGAGCACCGUCUUGAUAAGGCGGGGUCGAUGGUUCAGUCCAUCAAGACCCACCAUGGCACUUCUUGACGGGGGUAUAGCUCAGCUGGGAGAGCACCUGCUUUGCAAGCAGGGGUCAACAGUUCGAUCCGUUUACCUCCACCACGAGAUAUACGGGCAAGUCAAAAAAAAAAAAAAAAAAGAYUUUACGGAGCUUUUUGAUAUUGUCUUUUGACAAUGUGUUCUUUAACAAUUCGGAAUAAUCAAUCUAACGUUUAAGCUGAUUUGAUGAGAGUCAGCGAGAACGGGUAGUGAUAAGAAAUCUUUACAAAGAGAAACUUUGAGAUUUCUCAAGCAAAGACAUACAAGCAUAUGGCAUGAGAACGAGAGUUGCUUGUGACCCGGCCGGGCAAUAGGCAGCAGGGUUAUAGGAUCAAGUGACUAAGUGCAUGUGGCGGAUGCCUUGGCGAUCACAGGCGAAGAAAGACGCGGCAGCCUGCGAAAAGCUGCGGGGAGCUGGCAAACGAGCUUUGAUCCGCAGAUAUCUGAAUGGGGAACCACACCGCAAGGUGUAUCCGUAACUGAAUACAUAGGUUACGGAGGCGAACAAGGAGAACUGAAACAUCUAAGUAUCCUCAGGAAAAAAAAUCAACCGAGAUUCCGGCAGUAGCGGCGAGCGAACAGSMGGACCAACCUUUGAUAGUACGAACUUUAGCCGAAGGUCCUGGAAAGGCCUGCUAUAGUGGGUGAUAGCCCGUAGGCGAAAGAGUUGGUACGGUACUAAGGAAGCGAGAAGUAGAGCGGGACACGUGGAAUCCUGUUCGAAGACGGGGGCCAUCCUCCAAGGCUAAAUACUCGUGAUCGACCGAUAGUGAACCAGUACCGUGAGGGAAAAGGAAAAAAAACCCGGGGGGAGUGAAAUAGAACCUGAAACCGCAUGCAUACAAACAGUAGGAGCCUCAUCARGGUGACUGCGUACCUUGCAUAAUGGRUGGGUCACACUUCUCUGUGGCGAGCUUAACCGAAUAGGGAGGCGCAGCGAAAGCAGUCGAAUGAGCGUUCAGUCGCAGGGUGUAGACCCGGAAACCAGAUGAGCUAUCCAUGGCCAGGUUGAAGGUGUGGUAACACACUGGAGGACCRAACCAACUAGUGUUGCAAAAUUAGCGGAUGAGCUGUGGAUGGGGGUGAAAGGCCAAACAAAUCUGGAGAUAGCUGGUUCUCCCCRAAACUAUUGAGGUAGUGCCUCGUGUGUCGCUCCCGGGGGUAGAGCACUGUUUUGGCUAGGGGGGACAUGAGUCUUACCAAACCAAGGCAAACUCGAAAUACCCUGGAAGCGUGAGCACGGGAGACAGAGCACCGGGUGCUAACGUCCGGACUCAARGGGAAACACCCAGACCGCGGCUAAGGUCCCAAAUAACAGCUAAGUGGAAAACAAAGUGGAAAGGCCGUGACAACCAGGAAGUUGGCUUAGAAGCAGCCAUCCUUCAAGAAAGCGUAAUAGCUCACUGGUCGAGUCCUUCUGCGCGGAAGAUGUAACGGGGCUAAGCUGUUAACCGAAGCCGCGGAUGCGCUGGUUAUCCAGUGCGUGGUAGGGAGCGUUCUGUAAGUCUGCGAAGGCGGUUCGAGAGGACUGCUGGAGAUAUCAGAAGUGCGAAUGCUGACAUGAGUAACGUUAAAGCAGGUGAAAAGCCUGCUCGCCGUAACCAAGGAUUCCUGCUCUACGUUCAUCGGAGCAGGGUGGAGUCAACUCUAAGGUCAGGCCGAAGGCGUAGCCGAUGGGAAUCAGGUUAAUAUUCCUGAACCUGCGUCAGAUGCGAUGGGGGGACGGAGCAUGGAAGAUCAUCCGGGUGUUGRAGUCCCGGUUGUUUUUYGGCWAKAGGAGGUCUGCAGGCAAAUCCGCAGACGCAUCUCAAAGCAAAGACACGUGCCGCCACGGCGGCGAAGUGAUCGGAAGUGCUUCAAGAAAAGCCUCUAAGCUUCAGUCUGAUGCGGACCGUACCGCAAACCGACACUGGUGGGCGAGCUGAAUAUGCUCAGGCGCUUGAGAGAACUCGGGAGAAGGAACUCGGCAAAUUGACACCGUAACUUCGGAAGAAGGUGUGCCGUAGUACCGUGAGAGAGACACCUUGAGCGGAAACGGUCUCAGAGAAUAGGUGGCUGCGACUGUUUAUUAAAACACAGCACUCUGCAAAGUCGAAGACGACGUAUARGGUGUGAUGCCUGCCGGUGCUGGAAGAUUAAUUGAUGGGGUGAGAGCCCUUGAUCGAAGUCCCAGUAAACGGCGGCCGUAACUAUAACGGUCCUAAGGUAGCGAAAUUCCUUGUCGGGUAAGUUCCGACCUGCACGAAUGGCAUAACGAUGGCCACACUGUCUCCUCCCGAGACUCAGUGAAGUUGAAAUGUUUGUGAUGAUGCAAUCUACCCGCGGCUAGACGGAAAAAACCCCAUGAACCUUUACUGCAGCUUUGUAUUGAACUGUGAACCGAUUUGUGUAGGAUGGGUGGGAGGCAGAGAAGAGGCCACGCCAGUUAGUCUUGGAGCCGACCUUGAAAUACCACCCUGAUUUGUUUGCGGUUCUAACCACGGACAGUGAUCCUGUCUUGGGACCGUGCAUGGUAGGCAGUUUAACUGGGGCGGUGAAGAUAGAGCGACAGGCAAGUAGGUUAACACAAAGAAVACA
This 4379-nucleotide ribosomal RNA is filed under the name uncultured Parasutterella sp. RNAcentral describes it as "partial contains 16S ribosomal RNA, 16S-23S ribosomal RNA intergenic spacer, and 23S ribosomal RNA". The stretch from base 2132 to 4379 matches the Rfam family "Bacterial large subunit ribosomal RNA", at positions 1 to 2333 of the family's 2925-position model. The record is from RNAcentral. Lineage: Bacteria; Pseudomonadati; Pseudomonadota; Betaproteobacteria; Burkholderiales; Sutterellaceae.